GAUGAACGCUGGCGGCGUGCCUAAUACAUGCAAGUCGAGCGAACAGACGAGGAGCUUGCUCCUUUGACGUUAGCGGCGGACGGGUGAGUAACACGUAGGUAACCUACCUAUAAGACUGGGAUAACUUCGGGAAACCGGAGCUAAUACCGGAUAAUAUUUCGAACCGCAUGGUUCGAUAGUGAAAGAUGGCUUUGCUAUCACUUAUAGAUGGACCUGCGCCGUAUUAGCUAGUUGGUAAGGUAUCGGCUUACCAAGGCAACGAUACGUAGCCGACCUGAGAGGGGGAUCGGCCACACUGGAACUGAGACACGGUCCAGACUCCUACGGGAGGCAGCAGUAGGGAAUCUUCCGCAAUGGGCGAAAGCCUGACGGAGCAACGCCGCGUGAGUGAUGAAGGUCUUCGGAUCGUAAAACUCUGUUAUUAGGGAAGAACAAACGUGUAAGUAACUGUGCACGUCUUGACGGUACCUAAUCAGAAAGCCACGGCUAACUACGUG
This 497-nucleotide ribosomal RNA is filed under the name uncultured bacterium. Its description in RNAcentral is "partial 16S ribosomal RNA". It matches the Rfam family "Bacterial small subunit ribosomal RNA", at positions 28 to 507 of the family's 1533-position model. The record is from RNAcentral.